Molecule: non-coding RNA, 77 nt
Organism: Podarcis lilfordi (Lilford's wall lizard)
Lineage: Eukaryota; Metazoa; Chordata; Lepidosauria; Squamata; Lacertidae
Source: the annotation of a GenBank genome assembly
UUAAUAGCUCAGUUGGUAGAGCAUGAGACUCGUAAUCUCAGGAUCAUGGGUUGGAGCCCCCCAUGGGUUGGGCAAAA